RNAcentral lists this long non-coding RNA (731 nucleotides) under Carica papaya (papaya). RNAcentral's name for it is "long non-coding RNA (CPAP_LNC011147)". The record is from RNAcentral. Lineage: Eukaryota; Viridiplantae; Streptophyta; Magnoliopsida; Brassicales; Caricaceae.
GCCGGAGGAGCCGGCCGCCGCCACCCGCCGCCGCACCGGGGAAAUUUCCGACCGCCGAUCGAGUUAAUUUUUCUCUCCCUUGCUCGUUUUUCGACACUGAGUCCGCCUAUGGCAAAACCGGAGCCAAACCACCGGCCAAACGGCUGAAAAACUCAGCCGAAACCCAGCGGCGCUGCCGCGCCCCUCCUCGAUUUUUGCCUCUGAUGAGGCCCUUCCCGGCCUCCGUUUGAUGCAAAUUUUAUACCACUGUGAUCACCGUUCUUUUCUCUAUAGGUUGAUCGGAGCCAAACAUCAAAACGCGACUCACGCCGGAGGAGCCGCCGCACCCGAGAGCACCGCCGCCGGUAAGUUUUAUUUUUUCGUGAUUUUUCGGCCCACGGAGGGCCCUAUGGCGCCGUCGUUGGAGCACGGCAGAAUUGUGAUAUUGGCCGAAAGGGGCCCUAGGUCUAAUUUAGAAUUUUUUGGGACACGUGUAGGUACUAGUAGUGCGUUUCAGCUCAUCGGGAAAAAUUCAGGAAAAAUUAGGGACAGCCUGUAGGCGCACUGUAGAGCCGUAUUCAGACCCCGAAACAAGUAAGGACCCCUCACUCUAUUUCCUAUCACGGUAUUAAAGUUCAAUAAAUGAUAAAACGGUAUUUCAUGAAUCAAUAGAUGUGUGAAAUUGUUUAGGGUCGCUAAUGGAGCCCGAGUCUGGUGUAUUUGUCGGUCAGUUGUUGUUUGUUCUAUUUUAC